UAUUGAACGCUGGCGGAAUGCUUUACACAUGCAAGUCGAACGGCAGCACGGGUGCUUGCACCUGGUGGCGAGUGGCGAACGGGUGAGUAAUGCGUCGGAACGUACCGAGUAAUGGGGGAUAACGCGGCGAAAGUCGCGCUAAUACCGCAUACGCCCUGAGGGGGAAAGUGGGGGAUCGCAAGACCUCACGUUAUUCGAGCGGCCGACGUCUGAUUAGCUAGUUGGUGGGGUAAAGGCCUACCAAGGCGACGAUCAGUAGCGGGUCUGAGAGGAUGAUCCGUCACACUGGGACUGAGACACGGCCCAGACUCCUACGGGAGGCAGCAGUGGGGAAUUUUGGACAAUGGGGGCAACCCUGAUCCAGCCAUUCCGCGUGAGUGAAGAAGGCCUUCGGGUUGUAAAGCUCUUUCAGCUGGAACGAAACGGUACGCUCUAACAUAGCGUGCUAAUGACGGUACCGGCAGAAGAAGCACCGGCUAACUACGUGCCAGCAGCCGCGGUAAUACGUAGGGUGCGAGCGUUAAUCGGAAUUACUGGGCGUAAAGCGUGCGCAGGCGGAUUGUUAAGCAAGACGUGAAAGCCCCGGGCUUAACCUGGGAAUGGCGUUUUGAACUGGCAGUCUAGAGUGCGUCAGAGGGGGGUGGAAUUCCACGUGUAGCAGUGAAAUGCGUAGAGAUGUGGAGGAACACCAAUGGCGAAGGCAGCCCCCUGGGAUGACACUGACGCUCAUGUAUGAAAGCGUGGGUAGCAAACAGGAUUAGAUACCCUGGUAGUCCACGCCCUAAACGAUGUCAACUGGUUGUUGGGGGAGUGAAAUCCCUUAGUAACGAAGCUAACGCGUGAAGUUGACCGCCUGGGGAGUACGGUCGCAAGAUUAAAACUCAAAGGAAUUGACG
This 896-nucleotide ribosomal RNA is filed under the name uncultured bacterium. RNAcentral describes it as "bacterial SSU rRNA". It matches the Rfam family "Bacterial small subunit ribosomal RNA", at positions 26 to 915 of the family's 1533-position model. The record is from RNAcentral.